AAGUAGUUUUUGCGUGAAAGUAACAAACACCCAGACAUCCAAACUUUCGCAUUUACAAUAUAAGUAAGAUAGUAAGAUAAGUAAAACCUACAAUACUUGGAAAUGGUAAGCUAUAAUGCCCAAUGCUCAUAUUAUCCUAUUCUAUCCUACUAAUGUGAGGAUGAAUGGAUGUUUGACAGUCUUUCAUACAAAAACUACUGAACAGAAUUUGAUGAAACUCUAGCGUUUUGUUUAUACUUCAAAAUACAUGGAUUUUAUAAUGUUUAUAAUGAAUAUAGGAAAAAGCUACAGUACACUAAGAAAUAUUAUUAUAAAGUCUCAUGGAUAUUAUGUAUCAUUAUUAGUUUACUGAUCUACAAAUUAUUAUAGGAUUCUAAGAAAAUUAAAGUGAAAUAAUACCUUUCUUUCUAUUAUUAUGUCUAGAUUAAUUGUAAAAAAUAUAGUGUCGGUGUUGAAGGAUCUAGGCUUGUGGUGAAUAAAUUUAUUUAUUCAUUAAUUCAUCAUAGACAAAGAGGUAUAAAUGAUGCACAAUAUUUAAAACUUAAGUGUAGCCUCAAUUUAUAAAUAAUAAUUUGAAGGACACUGUUAAAUAUACUUUAUUUCUGUUUUAUUACUAAUUUAUAUUU
Ostrinia furnacalis (Asian corn borer) is the source of this 626-nucleotide long non-coding RNA. RefSeq lists it as uncharacterized. NCBI's taxonomy places the organism in Eukaryota, Metazoa, Arthropoda, Insecta, Lepidoptera, Crambidae. The transcript has 2 exons. The record is from RefSeq and is a predicted model, not a curated record.